This is a long non-coding RNA of Alosa sapidissima (American shad), 606 nucleotides long. RefSeq lists it as uncharacterized. The record is from RefSeq and is a predicted model, not a curated record. Lineage: Eukaryota; Metazoa; Chordata; Actinopteri; Clupeiformes; Clupeidae. The transcript is spliced from 3 exons.
AACCAAGGCUUAAAAAAGCCAUCAGUGUAAACAAUAUAAAAGUAUAUAUCAAAGCAACACACACAAAACCUGAGUAAAAAAUAGUCAAAUUACCACACACUCACUGAAUUGGCUAUAACAACCCAAAUAACUGUCACGCCUUCUACAGUAUUGCUAUCUCCUCCACACUUUACUGCUCCAUCUCCAUACUUCAAUUUCUACUGUUUGCCCUGGCUGCAGUCUGAGCAUGAUGGGGAGAUUCUUCUUCACAAAGGUGAUCAUUUCAACAUGCUCAGGUGUCAGCCUGCUCCUGUGCUUAUCAAUGAUGUGAGUCUGCGCUGAAAAGCCUCUCACUGUUCCGUUUUAAAAGCGAAACUGAUGCCACAACUGGUCUGGGUUUGCUGAAGUAACCUAGGCUACAGGCUGCAUUUAUUACAGAAAAUCAAGCAACAUAGCAAGUAGGCCUAUCUACACUAUUGAGAGACAGGAGCUUAAAUUUACCACGACAACAGCUGUCACUAAUUCACAUCGUCGUAGGCUGCGCCGAUGCACAGACUAAACGGUAAAAAAAGCUAUGAUAGCCUACUGGAAGCUUCUACCCUUUUGGAUAGAAGAGUUUUUGUCUAA